UUUCCGUAGGUGAACCUGCGGAAGGAUCAUUAUUGAAAUAAACCUGAUGAGUUGCUGCUGGCUCUCUAGGGAGCAUGUGCACGCUUGUCAUCUUUAUAUCUCCACCUGUGCACCUUUUGUAGAUCUGGAUAUCUUUCUGAAUGCCCUGGCAUUCAGGUUUGAGGAUUGAUUUUCGUCUUUCCUUACAUCUCCAGGCCUAUGUUUUCUUCAUAUACCCCAUGUAUGUUAUAGAAUGUAAUGAAAUGGGCCUUUGUGCCUACAAACCUAUACAACUUUCAGCAACGGAUCUCUUGGCUCUCGCAUCGAUGAAGAACGCAGCGAAAUGCGAUAAGUAAUGUGAAUUGCAGAAUUCAGUGAAUCAUCGAAUCUUUGAACGCACCUUGCGCUCCUUGGUAUUCCGAGGAGCAUGCCUGUUUGAGUGUCAUUAAUAUAUCAACCUCCUCAAGUUUUUACUUGUUGAGUGUUUGGAUGUGGGGGUAUUUUUUGCUGGUCUCUUAUGAGGUCGGCUCCCCUAAAAUGCAUUAGCGGAACAAUUUUGUUGACCGUUCAUUGGUGUGAUAACUAUCUACGCUAUUGACGUGAAGCAUGUUCAGCUUCUAACAGUCCAUUGACUUGGACAAAUUUUCAUUAAUGUGACCUCAAAUCAGGUAGGACUACCCGCUGAACUUAA
Molecule: ribosomal RNA, 670 nt
Filed under: Dermocybe malicoria
Lineage: Eukaryota; Fungi; Basidiomycota; Agaricomycetes; Agaricales; Cortinariaceae
Description: partial ribosomal RNA
Rfam family: 5.8S ribosomal RNA (bases 271-424)
Source: RNAcentral